This 465-nucleotide ribosomal RNA is filed under the name uncultured bacterium. RNAcentral's name for it is "partial 16S ribosomal RNA". It matches the Rfam family "Bacterial small subunit ribosomal RNA", at positions 338 to 795 of the family's 1533-position model. The record is from RNAcentral.
CCUACGGGAGGCAGCAGUAGGGAAUCUUCCACAAUGGGCGAAAGCCUGAUGGAGCAACGCCGCGUGGGUGAAGAAGGUCUUCGGAUCGUAAAACCCUGUUGUCAGAGAAGAAAGUGCGUGAGAGUAACUGUUCACGUUUCGACGGUUUCUAACCAGAAAGCCACGGCUAACUACGUGCCAGCAGCCGCGGUAAUACGUAGGUGGCAAGCGUUAUCCGGAUUUAUUGGGUGUAAAGGGAACGCAGGCGGUCUUUUAAGUCGGAUGUGAAAGCCUUCGGCUUAACCGGAUUAGUGCAUUGGAAACUGGAAGGCUUGAGUGCAGGAGAGGAGAGUGGAACUCCAUGUGUAGCGGUGAAAUGCGUAGAUAUAUGGAAGAACACCAGUGGCGAAGGCGGCUCUCUGGUCUGUAACUGACGCUGAGGUUCGAAAGCGUGGGUAGCAAACAGGAUUAGAUACCCAUGUAGUC